GAAGGGCGCACUUGUUGAGUUUGGGAACUUUCAGAGGCUUGAACUUCUCACUUAGGACGCAGCGGAGCUCUCUCAUCAUCAUCAAAUUCAGGCGAAGUGGAUUUAUGCUGACUUUUUACGUCUGGGACUAUGUUUUGCUUUGUCGAAGUGGUUUGUCUUUAGUGUUUUACGCGUUAUAGACGCGCACCGAUAUAGCGUGCGCGAGUAAUAACAUUACUAUGAGGAUGUAGACGCGCCUUUAAUGCACUCGCGUCACUUUAAUCGAUUCCUAUCUGAAGGAGAGUUAGUGUUUGGUGCAGAGAUGUGGGGCUGUUGGGAUAUGGGAUUAUUUAUGGACUAUCAUUGGACUUUAAACUCUAAAGGGACACUCGCUUGAGCAGUGAACGGAGAAUAUCGCUGCUUUGCCAAGAUGCAUCAUCAGCCCAAAUCCGAUGGGACGCUUCAGCAUGCUGUCAUCUGUUCAGAUGGAGUGACAUUUGUCUGACUGAAGCUGCGCUAUCAAGCGUCAUGCCGGGGAUCACACGUCGGCCCAGCGCCGCCGGAGGGAAGAGACUCACUCAGCACCAGACUGUCUUUGUUUAGCUCUUACAGACAAUGGUAAGCUGCCAUUUUUGUGCUCGUUUGGUAAAAAACAAACCGCUGGAGUUCAAUCAACUUGAAUUUGGCUUGGAUUUUCAAUCCCUUCUGAAAGUAGGAUGUUGGGGGCCGCGCUGAAGACACAGAAGACAAAGAAAGACGUUACUCUACAAACAGAUUUUCCAGAGCUGAAUGCAGCGAAGCAUCUAUUGCUGAGACACUGAUGCGAUGCUACAUUUCUCCAAAUCUGUUCUGAUGAAGAAACCAACUCAUCAACAUCUUGGAUGGCCUAAGGGGAGUCCGGGGAGUCCGGCCACACCAAACUGAACUGUGAACUUGCAACUUCCUGUGCUGUAGGCGUCUGUUGCUAGGAAACAAGUGGCCCACUCCGUCAAUUUCAGCUGGGGUGAAAUAAAUGCCACACUUGAUAUUGCAGGUCAUGACCACCCAUUGGGCUCGGAGGAGAGAGAUUCCCUGCACGCCGUCUCCUUGGAAUAUUAAUGGGCUUCUCCUGGGAAAACUGCCCACAGAAUAGGCCACUCCAUCGCUGUCUCUGUUUCCGCUCAGCUGUCCUGAGGGUACGUGAGGGUGUUCGGUACAAUCCGGUCUGGAGAAAACUCAAGUACACCUCAAACUUUUGUUUUGAUGUCUCAUUAAGAACUCUUGAAUGUUUCUUUUUUCCCCCUAUAAUGUCAGUAAAAUAUAUUACUGCUUUUAUUACACAAUAAAAAGCACAGGAACAGCUACAUUUAUGAUGUCAAAUUCCUCAGUCUCAACUUUAGAACCGUAAUCAGUAAUAAGACAUAUUGGUUGAAAUGAGGGGUCAUUAGCAUUUGGGAACAGAUCGUUCGAGCAUUGAGAGAGGUGACAAUGAUGCCGAUCACCACUGGUUUUCAUCACCGGAGCUGCAUACUUCUUUCCCACUCGAUGGCAGAAGCCGAGACAUCUCAUGUGUUUCGCCAUUAUGAGAGUGACCGUCCUAAUGGCUUCUACAGAUGGCAGAGAAAUUUUCCUUCAGUCCCUUUCACAUUCUUUAUCUGUAUUUGACUCUCUGUCACUUGCUUUCAGUCAUUCCACUAUUUCCUCUGCCCCGGUCUGGGUCUCUGAGGUGAGCGCUGAGUUUCUGGCACAUUUAUGUGAAGAAUCUGUUUUUAACAGCCUGCCAAGCUGUGAAUAUAAUAAGAUGAAUUUUAAAUGACAUGGAAGGGUAAUUACAAGUGGAGUUGGAAUGCCC
Long non-coding RNA from Cyprinus carpio carpio, 1810 nucleotides. The record is from Ensembl. NCBI's taxonomy places the organism in Eukaryota, Metazoa, Chordata, Actinopteri, Cypriniformes, Cyprinidae.